Molecule: small nuclear RNA, 107 nt
Organism: Chlorocebus sabaeus (green monkey)
Lineage: Eukaryota; Metazoa; Chordata; Mammalia; Primates; Cercopithecidae
Source: Ensembl
GUGCUCGCCUUGGCAGCACAUAUACUAAAAUUGGAAUGAUACAGAGAAGAUUAGCAUAGCCCCUGCACAAGGAUGACACACAAAUUCGUGAAAUGUUCCAUAUUUUG